UACGUAGGGUGCGAGCGUUAAUCGGAAUUACUGGGCGUAAAGCGCGCGCAGGCGGCUAUCCAAGUCAGUGGUGAAAGGCCCGGAGCUCAACUCCGGAACUGCCAUUGAAACUGUUUAGCUUGAGGAUGAGAGAGGUGAGUGGAAUUCCCAGUGUAGAGGUGAAAUUCGUAGAUAUUGGGAAGAACACCGGUGGCGAAGGCGGCUCACUGGCUCGUAACUGACGCUCAUGCACGACAGCGUGGGGAUCAAACAGG
This 254-nucleotide ribosomal RNA is filed under the name uncultured bacterium. Its description in RNAcentral is "partial 16S ribosomal RNA". It matches the Rfam family "Bacterial small subunit ribosomal RNA", at positions 524 to 776 of the family's 1533-position model. The record is from RNAcentral.